RNAcentral lists this ribosomal RNA (2336 nucleotides) under Euglena mutabilis. RNAcentral describes it as "bacterial SSU rRNA". It matches the Rfam family "Eukaryotic small subunit ribosomal RNA". The record is from RNAcentral. Lineage: Eukaryota; Euglenozoa; Euglenophyceae; Euglenales; Euglenaceae.
AUGCAAGUGUCAGAGGACACUGAUUCCAAUAGUUGAUCUGUGAAUGGCUCCUUAGACCAGCAACCAUCGACGUGAUAGAUGUGUGUGGUGCCAGCCUCUCGCCUGAAGGCGCUCAGUUGGAUAUCUCUCAAAACCUGGUGGCUAAUACACGAUCAAGAGGUCAGCCAUGCAAUGGCUUGUGUGCAAACUCAGAAGGCGUCCCAACCCCAAUGUGGUGGACUGCAACCAGCUGGUGAGCAAGACCGGUGCCCAGCAAUGGGCAGCGUUGGCCAUGUGUUGAACCAAGCUGGAUCCCAUUGGCGGAUCAUCGAAGGCAAGGGACAGUCAGCUCUGGCGUAUGGUCUCUGCCUGGGCCCCGGUCCAGGCAAGAUCAAUCUCUACAGUGUGCUUGGGCUCAGCCCUCACUCAGCUUGAUCAUGCGAACUUCUGACCUAUCAGCUCUGUGGUGAUGUAUUGGAUCACUGUGGCCUCGACGGGUAACGGAGAAUGAGGGUCUGAUUCCGGAGAGGGAGCCUCAGAGACGGCUACCACUGCUACGGUGGGCAGCAGGCACGCAAAUUGCCCCAUGAAAGAACAUGUCCAUUGAGGCAGCAACGAACUGCAGCAACUGUGCAUGACCUCACCGGUCGGUACAGCUUGGAAUGGAUGCAACCCAAACACAGUGAUGAGUAGCCACUGGAGAGCAAGUCUGGUGCCAGCAGUCGCGGUAAUUCCAGCUCCAAGUGUGUAUGCUGUCAUUGCUGCUGUUAAAACGCUCGUAGUCAGACCAUGGGAUGCAGGACCAUUCAGUGUUGUGGGCCCGAUUGCCAGGCCUGCCAGGUGAGGCUGAAACCUCAUCGGGGCUUGGCAUUGGAUCACCCACAGCUGGAAGGCCAUCACGGUUCGCAAGGGCCCGUGUUUCCUGCUCCCACUGCUCAAGCUCCUUCUUGGUCUCCUGACCUCGACAGAAGCUUGGAUGGCAUGAUGUGCUCUUGCUGUAAGUAUCCUCUACUGGACCCUGAGGCGGUAUCGCUCCCAACCCUAGCCAUUGGCACGGAACUUGGAUCCAGGCCCCGUGUCUGGAAGACCAGAUCCAUUCUGCCAGCCAUCGGAGUCUGCCAUCGUUGUCACCCUGGUGAAAGCAGUGUGCUCCAAGCAUCCAACCGAAGUUCCCUCGGGAACCAUCAGUCAUGGCUGAAUGUGCAACCAGUGAAUGCCAAUCAAACGACCACGUGAGGCAAUGCUUGUGCUGGUCUUGAGGCCCAUGCCUGGGCAAUGUGGCAGGGGGAACCAUUCAGAAGCUCAUGCCCAUGAGUGGAUCCUGGUCCGAGCUACUCGAUAUCGGAUGGGAGGCAGCCCGACGGGUGAAGGGGACCUUAGUGUCAGAGGUGAAAUUCUUAGACCGCCAUGAGACCAGCUGAGGCGAAGGCUCUUCGACCAACUAGCCUGCCUCUCUCGAUCAAGAAUGGCAGUUUGGGGAGCCAAGAUGAUCAGACACCGUCGUAGUCCAGUGCCGUAAACGGUACCACCCGAGUCCUGUAGUUGAUGCGCGCCUCCCAUGGCUUCAGGAGUCACCCCCUGACCGAGAGAAAUCCCAAGCGGGUUCAGGGGGGAGUACCGCCGCAAGGCAGAAACUUAAAGGAAUUGACGGAGUGGCACCACAAGGCGUGGAGUAUGCGGCUUAAUUUGACUCAACGCGGGGAAUGUUACCAGGCCAGGACAUGGCAAGGAUGGACAGAUUGAGAGCUCUUUCUUGAUUCCGUGGACGGUGGUGCAUGGCCGCUACUGAUUGGUGGAGUGAUUUGUCUGGCUGAUCCCGAUAACGAGUGAGAUCUCUGCUUCUGACUAGACUCUGGCUCGCAUCUGUAGGGCGGUUCCAGAGAACAGCACUGACGUGGCCCUGUCUUCGGAUGGGAUCCUCCACCCAGUGGCUGGCUGGUUCCCCCGAGAGCCAACAAGGAAGUCUUCUCUGAGGUGCUGCUUUACCGACAAGAAGGCUGAGCAUGCGAGAGGCAACAGCAGGUCUGUGAUGCUCCCAGAUGUUCUGGGCCGCACGCGCACGACACUGAUUCAGUGAAGGAGCCAACAAGAAGGCAAGGGUUCUCCCACUGCCCCGUGGCCUGAAGAGGCUGGGAAACCUUGCAAGCCUGAGACGUGAUGGGGAUAGAUGAUUGCAACUGUGUCUCUUGAACGAGGAAUGCCUAGUAUGCCCAGGUCAUCAGCCUGGAUCGACUGAGUCCCUGCCAUUUGUACACACCGCCCGUCGUUGCUACCGAUGGCAUUGGGAUAGAAACAUGUGGAGAAUGGACAAGCGCCUAUCAAAGCUGGGUGAUGUUCCUCUGCUAGAGGAAGCAAAA